ACCUGGCUGGCUCAGUCAGUGGAGCAUGUGACUCUUAAUCUCAGGAUUGUAGGCUCAAGUCCCAUGCUGGUUG
This 73-nucleotide transfer RNA is filed under the name Mustela putorius furo (domestic ferret). It matches the Rfam family "tRNA". From Rfam's summary of the family: Transfer RNA (tRNA) molecules are approximately 80 nucleotides in length. RNAcentral also lists the same sequence under 1 other name. The record is from Rfam by way of RNAcentral. Lineage: Eukaryota; Metazoa; Chordata; Mammalia; Carnivora; Mustelidae.